UUAAGUUAUUAAGGGCGCACGGUGGAUGCCUUGGCACUAGAAGCCGAUGAAGGACGUUACUAACGACGAUAUGCUUUGGGGAGCUGUAAGUAAGCUUUGAUCCAGAGAUUUCCGAAUGGGGAAACCCAGCAUGAGUUAUGUCAUGUUAUCGAUAUGUGAAUACAUAGCAUAUCAGAAGGCACACCCGGAGAACUGAAACAUCUUAGUACCCGGAGGAAGAGAAAGAAAAUUCGAUUCCCUUAGUAGCGGCGAGCGAAACGGGAAGAGCCCAAACCAACAAGCUUGCUUGUUGGGGUUGUAGGACACUCUGUACGGAGUUACAAAGGACGACAUUAGACGAAUCAUCUGGAAAGAUGAAUCAAAGAAGGUAAUAAUCCUGUAGUCGAAAAUGUUGUCUCUCUUGAGUGGAUCCUGAGUACGACGGAGCACGUGAAAUUCCGUCGGAAUCUGGGAGGACCAUCUCCUAAGGCUAAAUACUCUCUAGUGACCGAUAGUGAACCAGUACCGUGAGGGAAAGGUGAAAAGCACCCCGGAAGGGGAGUGAAAUAGAACCUGAAACCGUGUGCUUACAAGUAGUCAGAGCCCGUUAAUGGGUGAUGGCGUGCCUUUUGUAGAAUGAACCGGCGAGUUACGAUUUGAUGCAAGGUUAAGCAGUAAAUGUGGAGCCGUAGCGAAAGCGAGUCUGAAUAGGGCGUUUAGUAUUUGGUCGUAGACCCGAAACCAGGUGAUCUACCCUUGGUCAGGUUGAAGUUCAGGUAACACUGAAUGGAGGACCGAACCGACUUACGUUGAAAAGUGAGCGGAUGAACUGAGGGUAGCGGAGAAAUUCCAAUCGAACCUGGAGAUAGCUGGUUCUCUCCGAAAUAGCUUUAGGGCUAGCCUCAAGUGAUGAUUAUUGGAGGUAGAGCACUGUUUGGACGAGGGGCCCCUCUCGGGUUACCGAAUUCAGACAAACUCCGAAUGCCAAUUAAUUUAACUUGGGAGUCAGAACAUGGGUGAUAAGGUCCGUGUUCGAAAGGGAAACAGCCCAGACCACCAGCUAAGGUCCCAAAAUAUAUGUUAAGUGGAAAAGGAUGUGGCGUUGCCCAGACAACUAGGAUGUUGGCUUAGAAGCAGCCAUCAUUUAAAGAGUGCGUAAUAGCUCACUAGUCGAGUGACACUGCGCCGAAAAUGUACCGGGGCUAAACAUAUUACCGAAGCUGUGGAUUGUCCUUUGGACAAUGGUAGGAGAGCGUUCUAAGGGCGUUGAAGCAUGAUCGUAAGGACAUGUGGAGCGCUUAGAAGUGAGAAUGCCGGUGUGAGUAGCGAAAGACGGGUGAGAAUCCCGUCCACCGAUUGACUAAGGUUUCCAGAGGAAGGCUCGUCCGCUCUGGGUUAGUCGGGUCCUAAGCUGAGGCCGACAGGCGUAGGCGAUGGAUAACAGGUUGAUAUUCCUGUACCACCUAUAAUCGUUUUAAUCGAUGGGGGGGACGCAGUAGGAUAGGCGAAGCGUGCGAUUGGAUUGCACGUCUAAGCAGUAAGGCUGAGUAUUAGGCAAAUCCGGUACUCGUUAAGGCUGAGCUGUGAUGGGGAGAAGACAUUGUGUCUUCGAGUCGUUGAUUUCACACUGCCGAGAAAAGCCUCUAGAUAGAAAAUAGGUGCCCGUACCGCAAACCGACACAGGUAGUCAAGAUGAGAAUUCUAAGGUGAGCGAGCGAACUCUCGUUAAGGAACUCGGCAAAAUGACCCCGUAACUUCGGGAGAAGGGGUGCUCUUUAGGGUUAACGCCCAGAAGAGCCGCAGUGAAUAGGCCCAAGCGACUGUUUAUCAAAAACACAGGUCUCUGCUAAACCGUAAGGUGAUGUAUAGGGGCUGACGCCUGCCCGGUGCUGGAAGGUUAAGAGGAGUGGUUAGCUUCUGCGAAGCUACGAAUCGAAGCCCCAGUAAACGGCGGCCGUAACUAUAACGGUCCUAAGGUAGCGAAAUUCCUUGUCGGGUAAGUUCCGACCCGCACGAAAGGCGUAACGAUUUGGGCACUGUCUCAACGAGAGACUCGGUGAAAUCAUAGUACCUGUGAAGAUGCAGGUUACCCGCGACAGGACGGAAAGACCCCGUGGAGCUUUACUGUAGCCUGAUAUUGAAAUUCGGCACAGCUUGUACAGGAUAGGUAGGAGCCUUUGAAACGUGAGCGCUAGCUUACGUGGAGGCGCUGGUGGGAUACUACCCUAGCUGUGUUGGCUUUCUAACCCGCACCACUUAUCGUGGUGGGAGACAGUGUCAGGCGGGCAGUUUGACUGGGGCGGUCGCCUCCUAAAAGGUAACGGAGGCGCUCAAAGGUUCCCUCAGAAUGGUUGGAAAUCAUUCAUAGAGUGUAAAGGCAUAAGGGAGCUUGACUGCGAGACCUACAAGUCGAGCAGGGUCGAAAGACGGACUUAGUGAUCCGGUGGUUCCGCAUGGAAGGGCCAUCGCUCAACGGAUAAAAGCUACCCCGGGGAUAACAGGCUUAUCUCCCCAAGAGUUCACAUCGACGGGGAGGUUUGGCACCUCGAUGUCGGCUCAUCGCAUCCUGGGGCUGUAGUCGGUCCCAAGGGGUUGGGCUGUUCGCCCAUUAAAGCGGUACGCGAGCUGGGUUCAGAACGUCGUGAGACAGUUCGGUCCCUAUCCGUCGUGGGCGUAGGAAAUUUGAGAGGAGCUGUCCUUAGUACGAGAGGACCGGGAUGGACAUACCUCUGGUGUACCAGUUGUCGUGCCAACGGCAUAGCUGGGUAGCUAUGUGUGGACGGGAUAAGUGCUGAAAGCAUCUAAGCAUGAAGCCCCCCUCAAGAUGAGAUUUCCCAACUUCGGUUAUAAGAUCCCUCAAAGAUGAUGAGGUUAAUAGGUUCGAGGUGGAAGCAUGGUGACAUGUGGAGCUGACGAAUACUAAUCGAUCGAAGACUUAAUC
RNAcentral lists this ribosomal RNA (2920 nucleotides) under Staphylococcus aureus. Its description in RNAcentral is "23S ribosomal RNA". It matches the Rfam family "Bacterial large subunit ribosomal RNA". Lineage: Bacteria; Bacillati; Bacillota; Bacilli; Caryophanales; Staphylococcaceae. The record is from RNAcentral.